UUGACAUCCAGAGAACUUAGCAGAGAUGCUUUGGUGCCUUCGGGAACUCUGAGACAGGUGCUGCAUGGCUGUCGUCAGCUCGUGUUGUGAAAUGUUGGGUUAAGUCCGCAACGAGCGCAACCCUUAUCCUUUGUUGCCAGCGGUUCGGCCGGGAACUCAAAGGAGACUGCCGGUGAUAAACCGGAGGAAGGUGGGGAUGACGUCAAGUCAUCAUGGCCCUUACGGCCAGGGCUACACACGUGCUACAAUGGCGCAUACAAAGAGAAGCGACCUCGCGAGAGCAAGCGGACCUCAUAAAGUGCGUCGUAGUCCGGAUUGGAGUCUGCAACUCGACUCCAUGAAGUCGGAAUCGCUAGUAAUCGUAGAUCAGAAUGCUACGGUGAAUACGUUCCCGGGCCUUGUACACACCGCCCGUCACACCAUGGGAGUGGGUUGCAAAAGAAGUAGGUAGCUUAACCUCCGGGAGGGCGCUUACCACUUUGUGAUUCAUGACUGGGGUGAAGUCGUAACAAGGUAGGCGUAGACGU
This 527-nucleotide ribosomal RNA is filed under the name uncultured bacterium. RNAcentral's name for it is "bacterial SSU rRNA". It matches the Rfam family "Bacterial small subunit ribosomal RNA", at positions 981 to 1509 of the family's 1533-position model. The record is from RNAcentral.